RNAcentral lists this long non-coding RNA (236 nucleotides) under Lathyrus oleraceus (garden pea). Its description in RNAcentral is "Pisum sativum (pea) long non-coding RNA (PSAT_LNC006390)". The record is from RNAcentral. Lineage: Eukaryota; Viridiplantae; Streptophyta; Magnoliopsida; Fabales; Fabaceae.
GAUCUUCCAGCUGACUCUUCAAUUCAGUUAACUCAACAGCAGACAUACGGUACGGAGCCAUCGAUAUCGGCCUAGUACCAGGUACCAAAUCAAUCGAGAACUCAACUUCACGCUCUGGCGGUAAUUCAUUCACUUCUUCCGGAAACACAUCAGGAAAAUCACACACCACCGCUAGAUCACCAAUCACCAGUUUAUCUUUAGCCUCCAAAGUCGCUAACAGCAUAAACAACUCUGCC